This 1032-nucleotide long non-coding RNA is filed under the name Podarcis muralis (Common wall lizard). Its description in RNAcentral is "lncRNA (ENSPMRG00000007266.1)". The record is from RNAcentral. Lineage: Eukaryota; Metazoa; Chordata; Lepidosauria; Squamata; Lacertidae.
AUGGGGUUGACCCCAAAGGCAUCCAGCAGAGCCCUGGGCAUGAUGGAAUGGAGGCAGAACGUGAGUAUGUGGGCAGAAGGGACAGGUAUAAACUGUUACUGGAUCGAGCCAUCUUGGCCCCAAAGCAAGCAAGGGCUAGACUAUUGGGUGAAGGGUCUCUCUUCUGUGUGCCCUGUUCCCCUCUGCCUACCUGUCUCUUGGGAAUGGGCUCCUGGUGGCUGGGGGUGGGGGUGGCAUCUCUUGGUGUUCCAUGGGAAUAGUGGAGUGCCUCUCUUCUUUCUCAAGUGUCUGCUUUCUCUCUCUUUCCCUCCCCCAUCCUUCAUUGUUUCCUCCCCUUCUUCUGUCUUCUCCCUCCCCCCAAUCCUGUGCAGAACAUUCCCCGCAGGAAGGGCAAGAAGGGCAAGGGCAAGAGAAAGGGCAAGGGCAAGAGGAAAGGGAGAGGCAAGAAGAAGAGGAACAAGGAGUCGCCGGAGACGUCCUCGCUCACUCCGGCCCCCGGCCAGUAUGAGAUUCCAACUCGAGCUACACCUACAAAGGCAGCCACUGAGUCCUGGGAAGAGAAUCCUGGAGUUAUUACUGCAACCACUGUCGCAGUUGGCUUUAACCUCACAGACAACUAUGAGGACCUUUUUGGAGAACAGUACGAGAUUGGUGAGGACUCAGACCUGGAUGCCAAUGGCACUUACAGAGCAUACGAGGAGAGACUUGACUACAGAGACAGGGAAUAUGAGGACUACUAUGACCGAAGGGAUGCGAAUGAGGAAGAGCGGUAUGAUCCGGCUGAGCGCAGUGAAGACACCCUCCAGCUCCCCCCGGAAAAGAAUCUGAAAGGAGAGAAAGGGGAGCCAGCCAUCAUAGAGCCAGUGAGUAUGGUACAUGUUCUGUAGUGGCACUGGUGCUCCUCCAUCAGUAUGACUAGGGGCUGAAAGCCACUUGGUGAUGGGGUGGAAGGGGGUGGAAGAUACCAGCAAUAAGUUAUGGGAAGGUUUUUGGGUGUGUGGCAGGCUGUCAGUAGUAAAUAUGGGAGACAGU